This 45-nucleotide transfer RNA is filed under the name Phyla lanceolata. RNAcentral's name for it is "partial tRNA-Phe". Lineage: Eukaryota; Viridiplantae; Streptophyta; Magnoliopsida; Lamiales; Verbenaceae. The record is from RNAcentral. RNAcentral also lists the same sequence under 3 other names.
GAAUGGUCGGGAUAGCUCAGCCGGUAGAGCAGAGGACUGAAAAUC